Molecule: non-coding RNA, 46 nt
Organism: Schistosoma mattheei
Lineage: Eukaryota; Metazoa; Platyhelminthes; Trematoda; Strigeidida; Schistosomatidae
Source: Rfam
AUCCGACUGACGAGUCCCAAAUAGGACGAAACACGCGUCCUGGCAU